This 254-nucleotide ribosomal RNA is filed under the name uncultured bacterium. RNAcentral describes it as "partial 16S ribosomal RNA". It matches the Rfam family "Bacterial small subunit ribosomal RNA", at positions 524 to 776 of the family's 1533-position model. The record is from RNAcentral.
UACGUAGGGGGCGAGCGUUGUCCGGAAUCAUUGGGCGUAAAGAGCUCGUAGGCGGUUCAGCAAGUCAGGUGUGAAAGCUCCGAGCUCAACUCGGAGAGGCCACCUGAUACUGCCGUGACUAGAAUCCAGUAGGGGAGAGUGGAACUCCUGGUGUAGCGGUGAAAUGCGCAGAUAUCAGGAAGAACACCAGCGGCGAAGGCGGCACUCUGGGCUGGAAUUGACGCUGAGGAGCGAAAGUGUGGGUAGCAAACAGG